AUUCUUACCUGGCAGGGGAGAUGCCACGAUCAUGAAUGUGGUUUUCCCAGGGCGAGGCUUAUCUGUUGCACUCCGUAGAUGUUCUUACCCCUGUGAUUUCCCCAAAUGCGGGAAACUUGACUGCAUAAUUUGUGGUAGGGAGGAAGUGCAUUCCUGCUUUCUCCUG
RNAcentral lists this small nuclear RNA (166 nucleotides) under Chlorocebus sabaeus (green monkey). Its description in RNAcentral is "U1 spliceosomal RNA". It matches the Rfam family "U1 spliceosomal RNA". Rfam says of the family: U1 is a small nuclear RNA (snRNA) component of the spliceosome (involved in pre-mRNA splicing). Its 5' end forms complementary base pairs with the 5' splice junction, thus defining the 5' donor site of an intron. The record is from Rfam by way of RNAcentral. Lineage: Eukaryota; Metazoa; Chordata; Mammalia; Primates; Cercopithecidae.